RNAcentral lists this ribosomal RNA (551 nucleotides) under uncultured bacterium. RNAcentral describes it as "partial 16S ribosomal RNA". It matches the Rfam family "Bacterial small subunit ribosomal RNA", at positions 355 to 920 of the family's 1533-position model. The record is from RNAcentral.
UGGGGAAUAUUGCACAAUGGGCGAAAGCCUGAUGCAGCAACGCCGCGUGAGUGAUGAAGGUCUUCGGAUUGUAAAGCUCUGCCUUUUGGGACGAUAAUGACGGUACCAAAGGAGGAAGCCACGGCUAACUACGUGCCAGCAGCCGCGGUAAUACGUAGGUGGCGAGCGUUGUCCGGAUUUACUGGGCGUAAAGGGUGCGUAGGCGGAUGUUUAAGUGAGAUGUGAAAUACCCGGGCUUAACUUGGGUGCUGCAUUUCAAACUGGAUAUCUAGAGUGCAGGAGAGGAGAAUGGAAUUCCUAGUGUAGCGGUGAAAUGCGUAGAGAUUAGGAAGAACACCAGUGGCGAAGGCGAUUCUCUGGACUGUAACUGACGCUGAGGCACGAAAGCGUGGGUAGCAAACAGGAUUAGAUACCCUGGUAGUCCACGCCGUAAACGAUGAGUACUAGGUGUAGGAGGUAUCGACCCCUUCUGUGCCGCAGUAAACACAUUAAGUACUCCGCCUGGGAAGUACGAUCGCAAGAUUAAAACUCUAAAGUGAAUUGACGGGGUC